UCAUAUGAGGGGAAGGUGCUGCUUCAGCUUCGCUGCAGCCGCCAGUCUCCGCUCCACUGUCUGUUGAGCAAAUGUUUUCAGUCAUUUUUAGCCACUUCAGGACGAUCUCACUCCUAUUUUUCUAGUCAUACUGGAAUAUUUGAGAUGUCCAGGGCUUUGUGUUUGACCACUAUCAUUCCAACAAAGGAUUGCAAGAACUUUUGACCUUCACCUUGAAUCCUCCGGCCCGGCAUCCUGCGCUGUGACUGUGGCGAAUGCGGAUUGAGGCAUCCCACCAAGGUGUGUGCUUGUGCCAGGCAGGCUUCAGCGGAGGAUCCGGAGAACAAUGGCUCUCUGUUGGAGGACACACCUGAGUCAGAGAGGGGAGGUGCUUGCAGCCGGCCUGGUCCAGUCUUCUUCAUGGGUCCCCGACCAUGCAUGAGUUUGGUGCUGUUUCUAUUUAUUUAGG
Long non-coding RNA from Larimichthys crocea (large yellow croaker), 448 nucleotides. RefSeq lists it as uncharacterized. The record is from RefSeq and is a predicted model, not a curated record. The transcript has 3 exons. Lineage: Eukaryota; Metazoa; Chordata; Actinopteri; Sciaenidae.